GGCCUCGUAGCUCAGCUGGUAGAUCGUGCGCGUACAAAGCGUAGGCGGUGUCCAUGCGUGGGUUCGAGUCUCACCGAGGCUA
This 82-nucleotide transfer RNA is filed under the name Echinostoma caproni. It matches the Rfam family "tRNA". Rfam says of the family: Transfer RNA (tRNA) molecules are approximately 80 nucleotides in length. Their secondary structure includes four short double-helical elements and three loops (D, anti-codon, and T loops). Further hydrogen bonds mediate the characteristic L-shaped molecular structure. tRNAs have two regions of fundamental functional importance: the anti-codon, which is responsible for specific mRNA codon recognition, and the 3' end, to which the tRNAs corresponding amino acid is attached (by aminoacyl-tRNA synthetases). tRNAs cope with the degeneracy of the genetic code in two manners: having more than one tRNA (with a specific anti-codon) for a particular amino acid; and 'wobble' base-pairing, i.e. permitting non-standard base-pairing at the 3rd anti-codon position. The record is from Rfam by way of RNAcentral. Lineage: Eukaryota; Metazoa; Platyhelminthes; Trematoda; Plagiorchiida; Echinostomatidae.